GGAGUUGCAACCCGAGCAGCUGGUGGGCUGUCUAUCCCCAGGUCCAGGGCCAACAGUGAACACACCUUCAUUGCCUCAAGCCUGAUGGGGUCCAGUGCAGCCUCUUGGGAGAGAUCAUCAAGCGUUUUGAGCAAAAGGGAUUCCUCCUCAUUGCUAUGAAAUUAAUUCAGGCUUCAGAAGACCUUCUCAAAGAACACUACAUUGACCUGAAGGACCGACCUUUCUUUGCUGGCCUGGUAAAGUACUUGCAAUCAGGGCCUGUGGUUGCCAUGGCCUGGGAGGGGCUGAAUGUGGUGAAGACAGGCCAAGUGAUGCUCGGGGAGACCAACCCUUCGUACUCCAAGCCUGGGACUAUCCAUGGGGACUUUUGCAUCCAAGUUGUCAGGAACAUUACCCAUGGCAGCGAUUCCACAUAGAGUGCAGAGGAGAUUGGCUUGUGAUUUUGGCCUGAAGAGCUGGUGCAUUAGAAGAGCUGUGCUCAGAACUGGAUCUGUGGGUGACAAGAGAGCAGACCUCAGGGAACUGGGAGCGCUCUCUGUUCAGUAUUAUGUGCUACCAUCAGAUUAAAAUGUUUCAUUCC
RNA transcript from Odobenus rosmarus divergens (Pacific walrus), 580 nucleotides. RefSeq lists it as uncharacterized. NCBI's taxonomy places the organism in Eukaryota, Metazoa, Chordata, Mammalia, Carnivora, Odobenidae. The transcript has 2 exons. The record is from RefSeq and is a predicted model, not a curated record.